Lates calcarifer (barramundi perch) is the source of this 2370-nucleotide long non-coding RNA. RefSeq lists it as uncharacterized. The transcript is spliced from 3 exons. Lineage: Eukaryota; Metazoa; Chordata; Actinopteri; Centropomidae. The record is from RefSeq and is a predicted model, not a curated record.
CACACCCGUGAUGUGUCCGCCACUGGACUGCACCUCGACCUGAUGACCCUGAGGUACAACAACAAACAGACAGAGAGAGGAGUAGGAUGACGAGUCAGAGGGUGUUUAGGAUCCUAACACCUGCUCCUGUGGGUGAAAUUGUCAUUGCAGCUGGGAUGAAGCCGUGAAAUGUGUUAGAUGAGGUCAACAGACUAGAACAAACAUCUGACCAUCAGUCCAGCUUUGCUGCCUGGGCUUCCUGGCAGACCACUUCAUCUCCAUCCACUUUGGGCAGGGGAGCCAGUGUCGUCGGUCAUGUCUGUUAUGUGCAUAAGUGUCCCAUUUCCAACUGAACUGGAGCGAACCCAACGACUGUUGUGGUGCAGCGCCAGCCUCUUGUAAUACCACACUCAGUCUGCCUGCCUGGAGGUAUAAACCUACCUGGAAAAUAUUAUUCUACUGACUCACUGUUUGCAUGCUGAGAACAAAUAAACAUAUUAAUUUAGCAAAGUGGUUACAUGAUACAACACCUGCCUUAAUCCUGUGGAUCAGUUUAAAGUUAAAGCGUCACUCCUCGUCUCCCUCAUAGACACACACACUCAUAUUCACAUGAAGUGUCUGUUGCCAAUUCCUUAAUUCUUUAGUAACUGAGACAUUCCUUUGCCAUGUGUGAGAAUGUUUUUCAUCGGUCAAUUGACUGAUAGUGAUUCUUAAAAAAUGAAACAACCAAGUGUCCCUCACAUCUGGGCUGGAUUUCCUACAGCUAGCCAACACCAGAUAACGUCAGGUCAAUUUAUUUCUAUUCCAAAAGCCUGGACUUCAUUAAGACAUUGUUUGAAAUUUAUAUUUAAGAAUCCUUGUCCUGAUGAAGGAUAUGGAAAGCAGGCGUAACAUGGGAACGGGUUAUCGGCUGCUGUCACCUCCUGCCCAAAGGGACUGAGGGGAGGUGGGGACAUUUUUGAGAUGCUGGGCAUGCACAAGAAAUAAACGUGUGUUUUUCCAUCACAGAGGAGAUUAUUUUACAUCUUUAGUGUAUCUUUUGUAGUAAACUUUCUAUAAAGCUAUCUAUUAACAUUAAAUUGAAGCUAUUUUGUUUUCCAUCAGAUCAUGUCCUGAUGUUCAUACUGAAUGGAUUUGUGCUGCAUUCUGUAUAUUUCCCAGCUGUGGUUAAUAGAAACCAUACAGAGUACACAGUGGAGAGUAGAUGUAGAUGCACAGAAAGGUGUGACUGAGUGUAUCACAAAAACCCCAGUUUAGUGACCCUGUACCAAUUCUACAAUAAUAUUUAAUGGAGACUUCGGGCUGAUACAAGUGAUUCAGUAGAAUAACGUGCUUUAUUAUUCAGAAUAAUAAAGAAUAAUAAAGGUCAGUGGUAGAGGAAGAGAUUCAGAUCCUUUACUUGAGAAAAAGUAACAAUACCACACUGAGGACAUAUUCUAUAACAAGUAAAACAUAAAAGUACAAUUGUUAUUUGUAAAAUGUGUCUCACAAGUACAAGUAGAAAAAUUCUUGUGUUAUAUUCUUAAAUAUCGCAUUGUUAGCUUAUUAUCACUGAUGCAAUAAUGUGAAAGUAGUGUUUUACUGUAGUAGCUGGUUGAGGUGGAACCAGUUAUAUAUAUUUAUAUACUGUCAGUUUAAUUGUGAACAAUGUGUCAUCUGUUAUAAGAUCACCAUAUGUUGAGGAGGUAAAAUCUUAACCUGCAAACUAGCUAAAGCUGUCCAAUGUAAUACAGUAAAAACUACAAUACCCCCCUCUGAACUGUGGUGGAGCAGAAGUAUUUAAGUGGUAUAAAAUGGAAAAAAUGUACAAGUACCUGAAAUUUGUAUUUGAGUAUAGUACUUGAGUAAAGGUACUUUCCACUGAUGCUUAAAGUGCAAUAAAGGAUUAUUCUCUUUGCACGGCCUCUUGUUACAGGAACAUAAAAUAACCUUUACUUUAUUAUCCUGCAAACUGUGUCCUCUUCUCUAUAGCAACUGUUAAAGUGUCAUUGCUCAGUGUAGCAUUCACCCGAUGAACAAUUUGGGUCAAAAGAAAUAAACAAAUCUCAUUUUAGAGUAAGCCAAUGUCAGCACUGAUGAACACUGUGUACACUACCUUUCCAAUCUCCCUGGCAGAUUAAGACUCCUACUUUAGAGGCUGCAGAUACGGUCGAGAGGAGUGUAUAAAUGGAUGUGGACUGAGAGAGAGAGAAAUGACCAUUUGACAGGGUAGCUGGGAGAAAUGUAAUUUUCCACAUUGUUGCAGGAUUUGUUUCUGUUUUCUGUCAUAACAAAAAGCUAGCUUUCAUCCAAUACUAGUAUGUUAUGAAAGUCAGCAUUUAGGCAUUGAAAUUUUAAUCACAUAAUGUUGACAUUAAAUGAAUAAUAGUGCGUAGGUCUUGGAUGUAAUAA